AACGUAAAGAACCUGCCUUAUAGACUGGGACAACUAUUGGAAACGAUAGCUAAUACCGGAUAACAGCAUUAACUGCAUGGUUGAUGUUUGAAAGUUGGUUUUGCUAACACUAUGAGAUGGCUUUGCGGUGCAUUAGCUAGUUGGUGGGGUAAAGGCCUACCAAGGCGACGAUGCAUAGCCGACCUGAGAGGGUGAUCGGCCACACUGGGACUGAGACACGGCCCAG
RNAcentral lists this ribosomal RNA (226 nucleotides) under uncultured bacterium. RNAcentral describes it as "partial 16S ribosomal RNA". It matches the Rfam family "Bacterial small subunit ribosomal RNA", at positions 114 to 334 of the family's 1533-position model. The record is from RNAcentral.